RNAcentral lists this ribosomal RNA (862 nucleotides) under Lactococcus lactis subsp. lactis. RNAcentral's name for it is "bacterial SSU rRNA". It matches the Rfam family "Bacterial small subunit ribosomal RNA", at positions 56 to 901 of the family's 1533-position model. Lineage: Bacteria; Bacillati; Bacillota; Bacilli; Lactobacillales; Streptococcaceae. The record is from RNAcentral.
UGCAAGUUGAGCGCUGAAGGUUGGUACUUGUACCAACUGGAUGAGCAGCGAACGGGUGAGUAACGCGUGGGGAAUCUGCCUUUGAGCGGGGGACAACAUUUGGAAACGAAUGCUAAUACCGCAUAAAAACUUUAAACACAAGUUUUAAGUUUGAAAGAUGCAAUUGCAUCACUCAAAGAUGAUCCCGCGUUGUAUUAGCUAGUUGGUGAGGUAAAGGCUCACCAAGGCGAUGAUACAUAGCCGACCUGAGAGGGUGAUCGGCCACAUUGGGACUGAGACACGGCCCAAACUCCUACGGGAGGCAGCAGUAGGGAAUCUUCGGCAAUGGACGAAAGUCUGACCGAGCAACGCCGCGUGAGUGAAGAAGGUUUUCGGAUCGUAAAACUCUGUUGGUAGAGAAGAACGUUGGUGAGAGUGGAAAGCUCAUCAAGUGACGGUAACUACCCAGAAAGGGACGGCUAACUACGUGCCAGCAGCCGCGGUAAUACGUAGGUCCCGAGCGUUGUCCGGAUUUAUUGGGCGUAAAGCGAGCGCAGGUGGUUUAUUAAGUCUGGUGUAAAAGGCAGUGGCUCAACCAUUGUAUGCAUUGGAAACUGGUAGACUUGAGUGCAGGAGAGGAGAGUGGAAUUCCAUGUGUAGCGGUGAAAUGCGUAGAUAUAUGGAGGAACACCGGUGGCGAAAGCGGCUCUCUGGCCUGUAACUGACACUGAGGCUCGAAAGCGUGGGGAGCAAACAGGAUUAGAUACCCUGGUAGUCCACGCCGUAAACGAUGAGUGCUAGAUGUAGGGAGCUAUAAGUUCUCUGUAUCGCAGCUAACGCAAUAAGCACUCCGCCUGGGGAGUACGACCGCAAGGUUGAAACU